This 1184-nucleotide long non-coding RNA is filed under the name Capsicum annuum. Its description in RNAcentral is "long non-coding RNA (CANN_LNC010433)". The record is from RNAcentral. Lineage: Eukaryota; Viridiplantae; Streptophyta; Magnoliopsida; Solanales; Solanaceae.
CACCAGAUUGUAAACUAAAGGGCAUCAUUCCAAAAGAAAUUGGUAAUCUUACUGGAGUGAUACAUAUGAGUCUGCAUUAGAAUGAGUUGACUGGACAUAUUCCAAAUACUAUCCAAGGCAUGCUGAACCUUCAAGAACUUUACCUAAAAAGCAACAAGAUAGAGUGAGUCAUACCAGAUUUUAUAUGCAAUUUAAAGAAUCCGGUGCAUUAGACUUGUCAGGAAAUCAGUUUUCUGGUUCAGUGCCACCAUGCAUAGGGAAUGUUACGAGUUUGAGAAAUCUUUAUCUAGAUUACAACAGGCUGGAUUCUAGAUUACCUGCAAGUAUUGGGGGCCUUCACGAUCUCAUAGAAUUCAAUAUUUCAUCCAAUUUAUUGAGUGGGACAAUUCGCCAGGAGAUUGGAAAUUUAAAGGCUGUAACUCUAGUUGAUCUGUCAAAAAAUAAUUUUUCUGGUAAGAUUCCAAGCAUUCUAGGGGAUCUAGAUAAAUUGAUUAAUCUUUCUAUGGCACAUAAUAGAUUAGAUGGGCCUAUUCCAUAUUCAUUUGGCAAACUGGUGGCAUUGGAAUUCUUGGAUUUGUGCUAUAACAAUCUUGGCGGUGAAAUUCCAAAGUUAUUAGAAGCUCUUGUGUAUCUCAAAUACCUGAACUUCUCAUUCAAUAACCUUAAAGGAGAGAUUCCCAUUGGCGGUCCUUUUGCAAAUGUCACUAGUCAAUCUUUCCUGUCUAAUGAUGCACUCUGUGGUGACUCCCGGUUUAAUGUAAAACCAAACUAAAUCUACAGAGAGGUCAAGAGGAAAAAGAGUGCUUAUAGGUUUAUACACGUUGUUAGGGACUGGAUCAUUCCUUACAUUGGCCGUUGGAUAUAUGGUGUUAAGAUUGAGAAAGAGAAAGAAGAAUGCAGGUCAAGCAGAUGUAUCUCUGGCAAAUGGGCAUGAAAGAAUAUCCUAUUAUGAACUUGAACAGGCAACAGAAGGCUUCAAUGAAAGCAACUUGCUUGGGAAAGGGAGUUUCAGCAUUGUCUACAAAGGGAUACUUAAGGAUGGUACCUUUUUCGCAGCAAAGGUAUUUAAUGUUCAGCAGGAGGGUGCAUUCAAAAGCUUUGACACAGAAUGUGAGAUACUUCGCAACCUUCGCCACAGAAAUCUGACCAAAAUCAUAACGAGCUGCUCCAACCUGGAUUUCAAG